UCGGUGAUAGUGUAUCCUAGAUUUUUUUAAAUCAUCGAUAGAGCAAUCGUCUAAACAUUUUAUUUUAUUUUUGCAUUAAUUGUUCAGGUUCAAAAAGGAGCCUCGGAAUGCAGAGAUAGUGUUUUGCUUGUCCAUGCAUUAAUUUAGAAAGCACCAUGAUUGAUUAAUCCAUUUAAGAGAGAAAAGCGGCAGGGAUGUGGGCUAAGAGCCUCCAUUCUUUACAAGCUGCGCCAUCUCCGCCACCCAGUCGACUAACAGAUUUCAAAGAGUUGAUGAACACCCUCUAGAUCCAGGCCGGGGACCAAAGGAACAUAUUUAUCUCUAUGUGUGAUAUCUUUUCCAUCUCCAAUGGUCAUGGAAAGGGAAUUGACAAAAUGAAUCCUGCUUCUGGCUCCUUGGUUAAUGCACUGGACUGUACCGGGGGUGGCGGGCGCAACUUGCGUUUGAUUCUUGCAGCGUGUGGACUGGUUCACCAUCCUUUCAACGGAGAUCUCUUCAUUGGAAUCACUAGCACAAAUGCCCGCAACGGGAAGAACAAUAUUUGUUUUUU
Molecule: long non-coding RNA, 550 nt
Filed under: Hordeum vulgare
Lineage: Eukaryota; Viridiplantae; Streptophyta; Magnoliopsida; Poales; Poaceae
Description: long non-coding RNA (HVUL_LNC002379)
Source: RNAcentral